RNAcentral lists this ribosomal RNA (473 nucleotides) under uncultured bacterium. Its description in RNAcentral is "bacterial SSU rRNA". It matches the Rfam family "Bacterial small subunit ribosomal RNA", at positions 33 to 507 of the family's 1533-position model. The record is from RNAcentral.
GACGACGCUGGCGGCGUGCCUAACACAUGCAAGUCGAGCGGGGUUGAGGCGAGAGGUAACUCGAACUUCUACCUAGCGGCGGACGGGUGAGUAACGCGUGGGCAACCUGCCUCAAGGUUUGGGAUAACAGCCCGAAAGGGCUGCUAAUACCGGAUAUGCCUAUGGCCUCGCAUGGGGCUAUGAGCAAAGGGGAAACCCGCCUUGAGAUGGGCCGCGUCCCAUCAGCUAGUUGGUGAGGUAACAGCUCACCAAGGCGACGACGGGUAGCCGGCCUGAGAGGGUGACCGGCCACACUGGGACUGAGACACGGCCCAGACUCCUACGGGGGGCAGCAGUGGGGGAUCUUGCACAAUGGGCGAAAGCCUGAUGCAGCGACGCCGCGUGAGCGAAGAAGGCCUUCGGGUUGUAAAGCUCUGUCUGGAGGGACGAACAAAAUGACGGUACCUCCGGAGGAAGCCACGGCUAACUACGUG